Molecule: ribosomal RNA, 406 nt
Filed under: uncultured bacterium
Lineage: Bacteria
Description: partial 16S ribosomal RNA
Rfam family: Bacterial small subunit ribosomal RNA
Source: RNAcentral
GACGAACGCUGGCGGCGCGCUUAACACAUGCAAGUCGAGCGAAGCGGCGGACGUGUGAGUAACACGUGAGUAACCUGCCUUAGACAUUGGGAUAGCCUCGGGAAACCGGGCUUAAUACCAAAUGGUCUAAGAUGGACUCGCGUCCCAUUAGCACGUUGGGAGGGAACGGCCCACCAAGGCGACGAUGGGUAGCCGGCCUGAGAGGGUGAAUGGCGACAUUGGAGCUGAGAAACGGUCCAAACUCUGCGGGAGGCAGCAGUGGGGAAUAUUGCAAAAUGGAGGGAACUAUGAUGGAGCGAGGCGGGGUGAACGAAGAAGGCUUUCGAGUCGUAAAGUUCUGUUAUAUGGGAAGCGGUACCAUAAGAAAAAGCCCCGGCUAACUACGUGCCAGCAGCCGCGGUAAUAC